RNAcentral lists this transfer RNA (71 nucleotides) under Cavia porcellus (domestic guinea pig). It matches the Rfam family "tRNA". Rfam says of the family: Transfer RNA (tRNA) molecules are approximately 80 nucleotides in length. The record is from Rfam by way of RNAcentral. Lineage: Eukaryota; Metazoa; Chordata; Mammalia; Rodentia; Caviidae.
UGGGGUGUAGCUCAGUGGUACAAUGCUUGCCUAGAAUGCACAAGGCUUUGAGUUCAAACUCAGCACCUCAA